RNAcentral lists this ribosomal RNA (506 nucleotides) under uncultured bacterium. RNAcentral describes it as "bacterial SSU rRNA". It matches the Rfam family "Archaeal small subunit ribosomal RNA", at positions 86 to 600 of the family's 1478-position model. The record is from RNAcentral.
UAGCUCAGUACACGUGCGAUAUCUGCCCUAUGGCGGAGGAUAACCCCGGGAACUGGGGAUAAUACUCCAUAAGUCAGGAGUACUGGAAUGUCUCCUAACUGAAAGUUGCGGCGCCAUAGGAUGAAUCUGCGGCCGAUUAGGUAGUUGUUGGGGUAACGGCCCAACAAGCCCGUAAUCGGUACGGGUUGUGGGAGCAAGAGCCCGGAGAUGGAAUCUGAGACACGAUUCCAGGCCCUACGGGGCGCAGCAGGCGCGAAAACUUUACAAUGCAGGAAACUGUGAUAAGGGAACCCCGAGUGCCCGUAAACGCGGGCUGUCCCGGUGUUUAAAACACAUCGGGAGAAAGGGCCGGGCAAGACCGGUGCCAGCCGCCGCGGUAAUACCGGCGGCUCGAGUGGUGACCACUUUUAUUGGGCUUAAAGCGUUCGUAGCUUGAUUUUUAAGUCUCUUGGGAAAUCUCACGGCUUAACUGUGAGGCGUCUAGAGAUACUGGGAAUCUAGGGACC